UCGGGAAUUUUGGGCAAUGGGGGAAACCCUGACCCAGCAACGCCGCGUGAAGGAUGAAGUAUUUCGGUAUGUAAACUUCGAAAGAAUAGGAAGAAUAAAUGACGGUACUAUUUAUAAGGUCCGGCUAACUACGUGCCAGCAGCCGCGGUAAUACGUAGGGACCAAGCGUUGUUCGGAUUUACUGGGCGUAAAGGGCGCGUAGGCGGCAUGACAAGUCACUUGUGAAAUCUCUGGGCUUAACCCAGAACGGCCAAGUGAUACUGUCGCGCUAGAGUGCAGAAGGGGCAAUCGGAAUUCUUGGUGUAGCGGUGAAAUGCGUAGAUAUCAAGAGGAACACCUGAGGUGAAGACGGGUUGCUGGGCUGACACUGACGCUGAGGCGCGAAAGCCAGGGGAGCAAACAGGAUUAGAUACCCUUGUAGUCCCUGAGCGGGCUGGCAAGGCGCAU
This 447-nucleotide ribosomal RNA is filed under the name uncultured bacterium. Its description in RNAcentral is "bacterial SSU rRNA". It matches the Rfam family "Bacterial small subunit ribosomal RNA", at positions 355 to 825 of the family's 1533-position model. The record is from RNAcentral.